This 253-nucleotide ribosomal RNA is filed under the name uncultured bacterium. Its description in RNAcentral is "partial 16S ribosomal RNA". It matches the Rfam family "Bacterial small subunit ribosomal RNA", at positions 524 to 776 of the family's 1533-position model. The record is from RNAcentral.
UACGAAGGGUGCAAGCGUUGUCCGGAAUUAUUGGGCGUAAAGAGCUCGUAGGCGGUUUGUCGCGUCGAAUGUGAAAACCCGGGGCUCAACCCCGGGCCUGCAUUCGAUACGGGCAGACUAGAGUUCGGUAGGGGAGUCUGGAAUUCCUGGUGUAGCGGUGAAAUGCGCAGAUAUCAGGAGGAACACCGGUGGCGAAGGCGGGACUCUGGGCCGAUACUGACGCUGAGGAGCGAAAGCGUGGGGAGCAAACAGG